GACGAACGCUGGCGGCGUGCUUAACACAUGCAAGUCGAACGGUAAGGCCCUUCGGGGUACACGAGUGGCGAACGGGUGAGUAACACGUGGGUGAUCUGCCCUGCACUUCGGGAUAAGCCUGGGAAACUGGGUCUAAUACCGGAUAGGACCCUGGGAUGCAUGUCCUGGGGUGGAAAGCUUUUGCGGUGUGGGAUGGGCCCGCGGCCUAUCAGCUUGUUGGUGGGGUGAUGGCCUACCAAGGCGACGACGGGUAGCCGGCCUGAGAGGGUGACCGGCCACACUGGGACUGAGAUACGGCCCAGACUCCUACGGGAGGCGGCAGUGGGGAAUAUUGCACAAUGGGCGCAAGCCUGAUGCAGCGACGCCGCGUGAGGGAUGACGGCCUUCGGGUUGUAAACCUCUUUCAGCACCGACGAAGCGCAAGUGACGGUAGGCGCAGAAGAAGGACCGGCCAACUACGUGCCAGCCGCCGCAGUAA
RNAcentral lists this ribosomal RNA (478 nucleotides) under uncultured bacterium. RNAcentral's name for it is "partial 16S ribosomal RNA". It matches the Rfam family "Bacterial small subunit ribosomal RNA", at positions 28 to 523 of the family's 1533-position model. The record is from RNAcentral.